UGUUAUCAUAUCCACAUGUUAUACUAUCAACAUAUUAUCCUAUCCACAUAUUAUACUAUCCACACGCUAUCAUCCACACACUAUAAAACCACAAGCUAUACUAUCCACACACUCAUUAGAACGACAUGUGUACUAUUCAUUACAAAUGCUACUUUUCUGACUCUUUUUUGGUUUCUUCUCCUGCAAGAGACCAAUGCUGUGCGCACCUCACCAAAUCCUCCCAUUUCUCCCCUUAAUGAAUCUGGGUGUGAUUCCCCCAUUCAGCGCAAUGAAUCAGAUAGAGAUGAUACCCAGGAUACUGCUCGUACACCCCCAGCCUAUGUUGAUCUAAGUGAUUCUUCCCCGGCCAAACCAAUGGAAAGUCGUGUUCUGUGUAUUGGAGUAGCGAAAUUUUUUGCUGUGAUAAUAUCGAUGCCACAAACGUCACCGUCAACUCAGCCUGGCCUAUUACCAAGUGUUGAGAAAGAUUUUGUCGCCCUAUUCAAAAAAACACUCAAGUCGGCCCCUAACACGAAGCACUUAAUCAAAUGUGGUUACCCACUUGACAAUAAUUUCCUACUACAACUUGUGAAGCCUAGCAACUGGGUUAGCACUUUGCACAUGGAAGUUUUAGUCUAGUUGUUGCAAAAAACCCGCACAUGGAAGUUUUAGUCUAGUUGUUGCAAAAAACCCAUUCAGAAGUCUUUUCCAUAGAGCGCUCAAUCAUCCUUUCCCCAUGGCUUGACAACUACUUACAAGGCAAUUAUAAAUCUUUCAGCCAAGCUAAAAAUAAGUCUAGCGUAAAGUGGGACUCCCAGCUUAGGUGAUCCAUUAGUGGGGCUCCAUCUGAGUGGUUUGACCUUUGGAACAUGCUCUACAUUCCAAUGAUUUGGGGUGACUCUCACUUGGUCGGAUUGGUCAUCAACCUUCCUAAUUGGAGUAUAGAGAUCCUUGACCCUAAUACACCUUUGAAACAGCGACGAAAAUGUUGCUAAACACAUAGCUCCAUUCGUAGAAAUGCUUCCGCACCUCAUUCAUCGACUCUGUGACCCACCCGCUACUCAGAGUCAUGGAUUCACCCCUUUCACUUGGUCCAGGGUUAAAGAUGUUUACAUCAAAGAGAGAUCCGAUGACUGUGGCCUUGUUGUGAUGAAGUUCCUGGAAAUUCACGCCACAGGAUCUGGCCCAGAAAUGAUGGGACUGAUCACCGACCCCAGUGGAUCAAUUCAGGGCACAAUAUGCGUUCGACAUAAUCAACCACUUUGUUGCACCAUCUACGCCUAGAUGUAUAAUCUUUAUCUGUUUAUUUGUAAAACAUAUAUGUUUGUAUUCUACACUCUGUUCGGAUUACUCUGGACCUGUUAUAUCAAAUCAAGGAAGACUAUGUACAAUGAUUUUGGUAUUACAACAUCCACUUUUUCUUU
Camelina sativa (false flax) is the source of this 1403-nucleotide long non-coding RNA. RefSeq lists it as uncharacterized. The record is from RefSeq and is a predicted model, not a curated record. Lineage: Eukaryota; Viridiplantae; Streptophyta; Magnoliopsida; Brassicales; Brassicaceae.